CGUUAACACGCAAAAACGUGGUGGUCAAUUGACAGAUAAAUACGACAGAUACGCGAAAUUACAACCAUUCAAAUUCUAGAGAAGAACGUGAACGCACCACUGCAAAUAUUCAGCAUAAUGAAGCUUACAUUUUCCUUGCUAUGGCUGGCCCUGCUCGGCUGCCUCGUCGCUUCUCUUCCACAACCUGAGCCUUCAUCUCACCACGACCAGCUACCGUCUGGCUCAUAUUCCACACAAAAUAGUAACAACCGCGAUUGUAGAUUUCUUAUCUUCUGUAAUGAUGGCCCGCUAAUUCAGUGGGGUAAUAAUAACUCUGGAUAGAAAGAUGUAUUUUUCUUAAAGAGUAACAAAAUGGUACUGUUGUAAUUGUCGAGUUUCUUGCAAUGUUUAAAAAUAUCAUUUUAUGAUAUGAUAAAAAAGCGAUUUAAUUAUGUAUAUAUGUAUACUAGUUUGUCUUCUUAAUAAAAAUGAUAAACAAUA
Long non-coding RNA from Leguminivora glycinivorella, 480 nucleotides. RefSeq lists it as uncharacterized. The record is from RefSeq and is a predicted model, not a curated record. The transcript is spliced from 2 exons. Lineage: Eukaryota; Metazoa; Arthropoda; Insecta; Lepidoptera; Tortricidae.